RNAcentral lists this ribosomal RNA (274 nucleotides) under uncultured bacterium. Its description in RNAcentral is "partial 16S ribosomal RNA". It matches the Rfam family "Bacterial small subunit ribosomal RNA", at positions 523 to 796 of the family's 1533-position model. The record is from RNAcentral.
AUACGAAAGGUGCAAGCGUUGUUCGGAUUUACUGGGCGUAAAGAGAUCGUAGGUGGUUUGUUAAGUUGGAUGUGAAAUCCCGGGGCUCAACCUCGGAACUGCAUCCAAAACUGGCAGACUUGAGUUCGGGAGGGGUAAGCGGAAUUCCGUGUGUAGCAGUGAAAUGCGUAGAUAUACGGAGGAACACCUGAGGCGAAGGCGGCUUACUGGACCGAUACUGACACUGAGGAUCGAAAGCGUGGGUAGCAAACAGGAUUAGAAACCCUGGUAGUCC